Molecule: small RNA, 58 nt
Filed under: Caenorhabditis elegans
Lineage: Eukaryota; Metazoa; Nematoda; Chromadorea; Rhabditida; Rhabditidae
Description: Unclassified non-coding RNA Y43F8C.26
Source: RNAcentral
UCUAACUCAAAAUUCCGUAAAAUCAGGUGUCAGGUACGCAAACACCGAGGUACAGUAA